This 305-nucleotide ribosomal RNA is filed under the name uncultured bacterium. RNAcentral's name for it is "bacterial SSU rRNA". It matches the Rfam family "Bacterial small subunit ribosomal RNA", at positions 335 to 638 of the family's 1533-position model. The record is from RNAcentral.
UUUCCUACGGGAGGCAGCAGUGAGGAAUAUUGGUCAAUGGGAGGAAUCCUGAACCAGCCAUGCCGCGUGCAGGACGACGGCUCUACGAGUUGUAAACUGCUUUUGUACCGGGGUAAAAUGCCUUACGAGUAGGGUUUUGAAAGUACGGUACGAAUAAGGAUCGGCUAACUCCGUGCCAGCAGCCGCGGUAAUACGGAGGAUGCGAGCGUUAUCCGGAUUUAUUGGGUUUAAAGGGUGCGCAGGCGGCGUGUCAAGUCAGCGGUAAAAUGUCGGGGCUCAACCCCGGCCGGCCGUUGAAACUGGCG